CCCUUAGAUGUUCUGGGCCGCACGCGCGCUACACUGAAGGAAUCAACGUGUGUCUCUCCUGUCUCGAGAGGGACGGGCAACCAGUUGAACCUCCUUCGUGCUAGGGAUUGGGGCUUGUAAUUCUUCCCCAUGAACGAGGAAUUCCCAGUAAGCGCGAGUCAUAAGCUCGCGUUGAUUACGUCCCUGCCCUUUGUACACACCGCCCGUCGCUACUACCGAUUGGAUGAUUCGGUGAAGCUUUCGGACUACGACUUUGUUGGUUUAUUCUGACGCUGUUGUGGGAAGUUAUCUAAACCUCAUCAUUUAGAGGAAGGUGAAGUCGUAACA
RNAcentral lists this ribosomal RNA (327 nucleotides) under uncultured eukaryote. RNAcentral's name for it is "partial 18S ribosomal RNA". It matches the Rfam family "Eukaryotic small subunit ribosomal RNA", at positions 1470 to 1796 of the family's 1831-position model. The record is from RNAcentral.